This is a long non-coding RNA of Panicum virgatum (switchgrass), 934 nucleotides long. RefSeq lists it as uncharacterized. The record is from RefSeq and is a predicted model, not a curated record. Lineage: Eukaryota; Viridiplantae; Streptophyta; Magnoliopsida; Poales; Poaceae. The transcript is spliced from 2 exons.
UUUGCCGGCUUCCGCGUGGUGCGCCGCUGCUGCCGGCGCGUGCUUCCUGCUGCGGCCGCUGCCGGCGACAAAGACUGACCCGUGUGGAUUUAGUGGUCCUCGUUCGCUUUCGGUUUGCGAGGGGGACCCGAGGGCGCCGCGCGCGCCGCCUGUCCUCUCCGCCGUGUCUCGCUCGCCGGCGACCCGCACUGCAGUGCCCCGCUCCGCUCUUCCAUCCCCCACGCGCCGCACGUCCCGCACCCGCUCCCCUCUCUAUUCUCCUUCUCUCCACGGUUCCUCUCCUCACCACGAAUCCCAUCAACGCCUCGCGGAGCGUCGGCCGCCCCGUUGUGCCAUCAACGCGCGUGCCCCUCGCCACUCGCCAGGAGACAUGGCCUACAGAGCACGAGCGGCAAAUACCCAAGCCACCAGCCUGCUAUAGUGCUAUGCACUCUAACCCGCUCCAGUCUUGCUUCUCCUUUCAAGCAUGAGCAUGAGUAAGCGUCCAGCUACAAUCCACUGGAGCAUGACGCCAAUCUUACCAUCAAUGGCAUCCUCCAGGGAUGAGACUAAAAGGCCAUAAACAGGCAGGGACAGACACAGAGCGAGGCAACAACUUUCCUGCGACAAGUGAUUCUCAGACCAAUCCAGCUCAUACAGUCCACAUCGUACCAUCAUAAACCUAUGUAACAUAUAUGUACUAAUCGCAAAUGACUUAGUUGGUCUAACCACAAUUUUUAUUGUAAUAUAUCACUACUAUUAUCCUACUUCCAUUAUCAUUACAACCGCUUCCCUAAGCCUUGUGGCCACCCGCGCGCCUGCAAAACACUAGUGGUUAAAAUUCACAACCAGAAUGAACAAUAAAGAACUGACAAAACUGAUUUUCUUAUUUGAUGUUAACCUUACAUUACAAUCCUCUGUCACCAACUAACCACUAGCUAUAAAUACACGCAAA